Molecule: transfer RNA, 66 nt
Filed under: Clavelina oblonga
Lineage: Eukaryota; Metazoa; Chordata; Ascidiacea; Aplousobranchia; Clavelinidae
Description: transfer RNA-Ser (AGY)
Source: RNAcentral
AAAGUAAUAAUUCAUAAAAACUGCUAAUUUUUAUUUGUCCUUUUUUAUUUUCAAGGGCUUACUUUG